This 402-nucleotide ribosomal RNA is filed under the name uncultured bacterium. Its description in RNAcentral is "bacterial SSU rRNA". It matches the Rfam family "Bacterial small subunit ribosomal RNA", at positions 355 to 774 of the family's 1533-position model. The record is from RNAcentral.
UGGGGAAUCUUGCACAAUGGGGGCAACCCUGAUGCAGCGACGCCGCGUGAGCGAUGAAGCCCUUCGGGGCGUAAAGCUCUUUCGACCGGAACGAUAAUGACGGUACCGGGAGGAGAAGCUGCGGCUAACUACGUGCCAGCAGCCGCGGUAAUACGUAGGCAGCAAGCGUUGUUCGGAGUUACUGGGCGUAAAGAGUGCGUAGGCGGUUUUCUAAGUUCGGUGUGAAAUCUCCCGGCUUAACUGGGAGGGUGCGCCGAAGACUGGGAAGCUGGAGUGUGGGAAAGGCAGGCGGAAUUCCUGGUGUAGCGGUGAAAUGCGUAGAUAUCAGGAGGAACACCGGCGGUGUAGACGGCUUGCUAGACCAUAACUGACGCUGAGGCACGAAAGCGUGGGUAGCAAACA